This 254-nucleotide ribosomal RNA is filed under the name uncultured bacterium. Its description in RNAcentral is "partial 16S ribosomal RNA". It matches the Rfam family "Bacterial small subunit ribosomal RNA", at positions 524 to 776 of the family's 1533-position model. The record is from RNAcentral.
UACGUAGGGGGCGAGCGUUGUCCGGAUUUAUUGGGCGUAAAACGCUUGUAGGUGGCCACGUCAAGUCGGAUGUGAAAUCUCCCGGCUCAACUGGGAGGGGUCAUUCGAUACUGGCGGGCUCGAGGCCGGUAGGGGGAAGCGGAAUUCCCGGUGUAGUGGUGGAAUGCGUAGAUAUCGGGAGGAAUACCGGUGGCGAAGGCGGCAUCCUGGACCGACAUUGACGCUGAGGAGCGAAAGCUAGGGGAGCAAACGGG